UCAGAACAUCGCCGUCACGUGAGGAAAAAAAAGAAAACACGUGUCAUUAUAUGACAUGAGAGAAAGCGGCAUGGGCUAACAUACACUGACGGAAGUGCAUCUCUUCUUAAGAUGCGCCGCACCGGCAGUUCUAAAACAAAAGAAAAAAAUAAUAAUCAACGCAGCAGAAGAGAGGGGAACACAAAAAGGAAAUAAACGAGAGAGAUGAGAGAGUCUCUGUCUGUCUGUAGGUAGAGAAAGUAAAAGAAAAGGAAAACGAGUUGUCUCUCUGAGUCGACUCACCGAGUCUAGCUGUCGAAAGAGGAAGCAGCAAAAACCGAUAAAAAAGGGAUCUUUGAGAUUUUUUUUUUUUUUUU
RNAcentral lists this long non-coding RNA (356 nucleotides) under Capsella rubella. RNAcentral describes it as "long non-coding RNA (CRUB_LNC003474)". Lineage: Eukaryota; Viridiplantae; Streptophyta; Magnoliopsida; Brassicales; Brassicaceae. The record is from RNAcentral.